This 3297-nucleotide long non-coding RNA is filed under the name Pan troglodytes (chimpanzee). Its description in RNAcentral is "long non-coding RNA NONPTRT016882". The record is from RNAcentral. Lineage: Eukaryota; Metazoa; Chordata; Mammalia; Primates; Hominidae.
CUGCCAACAGCUGUCUUACACGAGGUGGCUCUGCCGGCACCUGUCUUAGACGAGGUGGCUCUGCCGGCACCUGUCUUAGACGAGGUGGCUCUGCCAACACCUGUCUUAGACGAGGUGGCUCUGCCGGCACCUGUCUUAGACGAGGCUGCUGUGUCAAAAUUCCACAGACCGACUGGCUUCACAGCAGACAUUUCUUUCUCCCAGCUCUGCAGGCUGGGAGUCCAGCCUCCAGGUGCCACAGACCCAGUUCCUGUUGAGGGACCACCCCCAGCUUACGGACAGCAGCCUCUUGCUCAUGUGGCUGUCCCCGUGUGUGCUCCUGGAGAGGAGGCUCCGGUGUCUCUUCCCAUGAGGGCGCUCAUCUCAUCGUGAGGGUCCCCCAGGAUCUUCUCUCAACCUGCUCCCCUCCCAAAGGCCCCACCUGCAACACUGUCUUGCUGGGGGUGAGGACUUUAACAUGUGAACUGGAGGUGGGGGACAAGUAUCCAGUCCACAGCAACCCCAACUCUGGGACCCAGUUUCUCUACUGGCACGUGCUGAGUAACCACCCACCCAGACGCCUGGUGGCUCACAGCUGCAGGGACACGGUGCUUCUGUGGCCGCAGGCGUGAGGACCUGGGUCCUGGCCUCCCUGGGGCCUGUUCCUUGGCUGUGCUCGGUUGCUCAGGGCUGCUCUGGUCCUGCAUCCCCAAGGAGAGCCCUUGUGAGGUCACAGGUGCAGAAGGAAGCCUGUCCGAUGCAGACGGAUGUUCCAGCCAGGCAGAGAGGAGAAAAUCAGUACCUAAAGCAUCUGACAGAAAAGGAAAAAAAGAUCCAAAAGAAACCAUUUAGAAUAGACUCAGAGGACAUAACACACCUGGGACUGACUUAGAUGAUAUUUAGGAAAGAUGUGUAAGAUUUCUACAUGUAAACUGAGAGAUGGGAUGGUAUUAUUACAAAUUUUCCUAAGCCAGGGUCACCCAUGCUGGAGGGCCAUGGUACAAUCACAGCUCACUGCAGCCUCAACCUCCCGGGCUCAUCCUCCAACCUCAGCCCCACGGGUAGCUUGAGAUUACAGGCGUGCACCACCAUGCCCAGCUAAUUUUGGGGGCUUUUGUUUGCUUGUUUUGGGAGAGACAGGGUCUCAUUAUGUUGCCCAGACUGUUGAGAUGGAACAUUACUCACAAACAUGUAAAAACUCGAACGAUGGCGGGUCUGCCCAUUCAUGGAUGGAGCAGGGGGUGUCAGCAUGUAAAAACUCAAACAAUGGUGGGUGCCUGUUCGUGGAUGGAGCAGGGGAUGUUGCGGAGCUGGAGCAUUACUCAGACAUGCAAACAACGGCGGGCGUGCCCAUUUGUGGAUGGAACGGGGGGGGUAUCAGGGAGAUGGAGCAUUACUCAAAGACAUGUAAAAACUCAAACAAUGGUGGGCGUGCCUGUUCGUGGAUGGAACAGGGGGUGUCGGGAAGGCUUUGGGGCUCCCGGUUGCUGUCAGUCGCCCGUGAGACCCGAGCAGCAGUCGCUCUGUUCUUGUGAUCAUGGCUGAGUGGGAUCCAGUGUGAGUCUCCACCCGGCCUGUUACCCAGUUCCAGCUGCAGGGCCUGUGCGCCCUUUUCCGCCUGGGCAGCAGUGAAUGAAGUUGCUCUAAGUCCCUUGCUGCUCUUGGUGCACUUAAGAGAGGGCUCGCAGGCCACAGGGUAACAGGAGAGGCUGAGUGCGUGGCAUCCUCCAUCAUGGAAACGCAUCUCGCGCCAGCACACGCAGCUGGCUUUUCCACUACUUUUGCCCGUCGAUGGCACCACCCAGCUUUUCUCUGGGUGGGACAGGUAUCUGUCCACCUGGGGUUUCUACUCUGCAUGUUUUAUCUUUUUUUUUUUUUUUUCUUGAGAUGGAGUUUCACUCGUCGCCCAGGCUGGAGGAUAAUGCCAUAAUCUCAGCUCACUGCAACCUCCGCCUCCCAGGUUCAAGUGAUUCUCUUGCCUCAGCCUCCUGAGCAGCUGGGACUACAGGUGCCUGCCACCAUGCCUGGCUAAUUUUUGUAUUUUGAGUAGAGACAGGGAUUCACCAUGUUGGCCAGGCUGGUCUUGAACUCCUGACCUCAGGUGAUCCGCUCGCCUCGGCCUCCCAAAGUGCUGGAAUUACAGGCGUGAGCCACCGCGCCCGGCCAUGUUUUAUCUUUUAUCCAGGUAGUCUGUGACUAUCCAAACGAGGCUCUGACAGUCUACAGGGAUCGUUGUCAGUCUGGAGAGAGUUGGGUUAAAGGCAGGUUGUUCGGGGUGAGAAGGGGACGCUGAGGCAGCAGGUGGUCACAGCCUCACGUCUCAGAAGGAUGUGCUGAGCAGGCCCGGGCAGGUUUUGGGCAAGUGAGGUCCACAGCCCUCUAAUGAGUACCUUUAGAGGCCACUGGCCUGCAAGUUCUGAUGAUGGGGAACAGCCUUAGGGGCCUCUCCCUGGAGCUCCCACUCGCCCCCUCGCCCCCCACCCUGCUGUGUCCUGAGCUGUGGCUUGGGAGAUGUUUCUGGACUGGGACCAGACCCCGCAACCUAGAGAGCCAGCUCUAGGCUGGGAAUUCCUGAGCUUAAUGUCCAGGCAUGAAGUCAGCUCCUUGUGUGUCCUCAUCUGUACAGUGAGGGAAGGGCCCGUCACCGUCUCCGCGAGGACAGACUCCGAGGUGACGUGGGUCGGGCCUGCACCCUCAGUGGUUUCCUUUCUGGAGUCUGGGCCUGCUCGGCCAGUGCCCUCAUUUUCUGUGGAGCUGUUCCAUGUCUGGGCACAGAAGCACCUCUCUGGGAGCAGGUGGGGACGUGAGAGCCCCCUGCUGGAACUGUUCUGUCGCAGGCCCCGGGAGGAGCUGGACCUGCUGCCUGAGCCCCUUGGGGCAGCGGGUGAGCCGCGGUGUGAGAGACUCGGGCCUGGAGCACCAAGGGCCCCACAGCAGGAGGGAUGGGGGUGCAGCCUCCAGGGCGCUGGGGUCCUCUUGGCUGACCAGGAGCCUUACACAGGGGCUGCCUCAUGGGUUUGGCGGGAGCCCCGGCGUGAGGGAGACAGCCACAGAGGCAGCCCCGAAAGCAAAGCGCGGAGCAGAUGGCAGAGGAUCCCACGUGGAAGAGAAGAGGGCGGCAGAGGAGAGGGCGGCAGAGGGUCCCGCGUGGCAGAGAAGAGGGCGGCAGAGGGUCCCGCGUGGCAGAGGAGAGGGCGGCAGAGGGUCCAGCGUGGCAGAGGAGAGGGCGGCAGAGGGUCCCGCGUGGCAGAGGAGAGGGCGGCGGAGGGUCCCGCGUGGCAGAGAGGGUGGCGGAGGGUCCCGCGUGGCAGAGGAGAG